AUGACUUCCAUUGAAUCACUCUAUCUUUCUGGAAACAAUUUCACAUUAGUUCCAUCAUGGUUUUGCAACUUUGAAAAACUUACUCAUCUUGAUCUUUCUCGCAAUAGUUUAACUUCCAUUCCAUCAUGGUUUGUCGAUUUUAAGAGACUUGUGUACCUUGAUCUUAGUAGAAAUGGGCUUAUUGGUCAAGUACAUUCUUGUGCUUUCACAAACUUGACAUCACUUGUGCAUCUUGAUCUCUCCUGGAACCAACUUGAUUCAAUUUCGUAA
RNAcentral lists this long non-coding RNA (270 nucleotides) under Vicia faba (fava bean). The record is from RNAcentral. Lineage: Eukaryota; Viridiplantae; Streptophyta; Magnoliopsida; Fabales; Fabaceae.